RNAcentral lists this ribosomal RNA (253 nucleotides) under uncultured bacterium. RNAcentral describes it as "partial 16S ribosomal RNA". It matches the Rfam family "Bacterial small subunit ribosomal RNA", at positions 524 to 776 of the family's 1533-position model. The record is from RNAcentral.
UACGGGGGGGGCAAGCGUUGUUCGGAAUUACUGGGCGUAAAGGGUUCGUAGGUGGCUUGUUAAGUCAGACGUGAAAUCCCUCGGCUCAACCGGGGAACUGCGUCUGAGACUGAUGAGCUCGAGUGCAGGAGAGGAACGCGGAAUUCCAGGUGUAGCGGUGAAAUGCGUAGAUAUCUGGAGGAACACCGGUGGCGAAGGCGGUUCUCUGGGCCUGACCUGACGCUGAGGAGCGAAAGCGUGGGGAGCGAACAGG